Coffea arabica (coffee) is the source of this 3301-nucleotide non-coding RNA. NCBI's taxonomy places the organism in Eukaryota, Viridiplantae, Streptophyta, Magnoliopsida, Gentianales, Rubiaceae. The record is from RefSeq and is a predicted model, not a curated record.
UUUUUAGGGGUUUGUGAUUCGGAUUCUGCUAAAACCCUCAAGCAGCCCCAAAUUCAUUGGUCUCUAGUUGGGGUUCCAAAUCCCCGAACGUUACAGGCGAUUGAAGAGAAUGGUUUUGUCGAAUAAGAAGCUAAAGCAGAAGCUUAGAGCGGCUAAAGCUGAAUUAUUGGCAGCUUCAGAAGCUCAAAACCAAUCCAUAAACAAAAAUUUCCAGAACCCGGAAUACCUAGAUUUAGGGACCCAAAAAUCUCUCAAUUCCCUUCUUGAGUCAGCAUCCCAGAAGCCCAGAUUGUCAAAGAGAGAAAAACGCAGACAAAAGGCACCUUCUUUGCAAGAAAAUGAUGAGAAAUUGAAUAAAGACGAAGAUGCUGGGUCAGGGGGUAUGGCUGAAUAUGAAAAGAGGAAAAACAAAAGGAAAAGAGAUGAAAAUCAGGAACUGGAAAAUGGGGAGGUGAAGAAGGUGAAAAAGUUGAGCAAAAAGAAGAAAAAGAAGAAGAAGAAAAAGAAGAAAGAGAGGAAGGGGAAAGAAGUGGAGGAGAAUGGAGAGGUGCAGGAGAGCUUGGGAACUGAGGCCGGUGUGAUUGAUGACCAAGAUUUAACACAGAGGGUUGAUUAUGAUAAUAGUGAAGGAAGUUUGGAUGCCGGUACUAAAGUUUAUGUUGGAGGUAUACCAUACUACUCGAGUGAAGAUGAUAUUAGGAGUUAUUUUGAAGGUUGUGGCACCAUAACUGAAAUUGACUGUAUGAAGUUUCCAGAGAGCGGAAAAUUCAGAGGGAUUGCCAUCAUUAGUUUCAAGACUGAAGCUGCAGCAAGGAGAGCGUUGGCCCUUGAUGGGUCUGACAUGGGAGGCCUAUUCCUAAAAAUUCAACCUUACAAAUCUGCUAGAGUUACCAAAACGUCUAACUUUGCUCCUAAAAUUGUGGAGGGGUACAAUAGGAUCUACAUUGGAAAUUUGUCCUGGGAUAUCACUGAAGAUGAUUUGAGGAAAUUUUUUUCAGUCUGCAAUAUUACGUCCAUCCGUUUUGGUGAAGACAAAGAAACAGGAGAUUUCCAAGGUUAUGCCCAUGUGGAUUUUUCAGAUAGUCUUUCCCUGAACACAGCAUUGAAAUUGGAUCAGAAGAUUGUUUGUGGAAGACCCAUUCGAAUAUCGUGUGCUGUUCCAAAGAAAGGAUCAGAAGAUAAGACAAAACUGUUACCAGAAAUUAAUCAAGCUGUUGGUGAUGGUGCGACUGCUGUUAGCGGGAAGAUUCGGAGGAGGACAUGUUACGAGUGUGGAGAGCGUGGCCACCUUUCAUCUUCUUGCCCAAAGAAGCAAGCAGCUGACCAAACGAGUCUUCAAACAAGUUAAUUUUGCGGACUGGCUCUCGAGGUCCAAGGAGCUGGAAGGCAUAAGAUGAUUUAGCUCUCUGUUUUAUUGCAUUGUAGAAUCUGUCUCGUAUCACACUGAAAUUGGAGUCUGAGAAAGCACAGAGACUCCUCCUCUUAGUCCUCAAAAUAUAAAUUCCUUCCCCAGUUUCACGGGUGGCUUGGCUUUGACUUUGGAAACUGGAAACUGGAAACUAGGGAGCUUAGUUGUUUUUUUUGUGAAUUUGGCCCGUGAGUCGCCUUUCUAGUCACAGGUCCUGAUUCACAACCAUUGUGUUGGAAAUUUUCCCCUUUGAUGUUGGCAUUCUCCCCUACAAUGAACUCCUAGGGGUCAACGGGCUACUACCCAAGAAAUACUCCUAUUUCAUGUCGAAUUUCUCCGAGUGAUCUUCUCUUUACAACCCCCGAGCAGCACACCAGUCUUCGUCCAAAUUCUACCUAGAAUUGGUAUUGUUGUAGGAUCAUUGGCUACCAAAAGACACAGAUCCGAAAGAGGAUGGAUACUAGCAGCUACUAUAGACUAGUUCAAUUUUCAGCAGGAAAUCAUGAAUUUUAGCACCGGAUUUGCGGCGGGUAUUAAGACCCAUGGUUUGUUGGUUAGCUACUACAUGUCCCCCAGCCCCCAAAAGGGCCAAAACCCAGCCUGCCUUAAGUCUCAGAAAUUAGUUAAGUGGAAUUCUGUACGGGGCAUUGGCUUCCAAAUCUCAACUGAUUUUACCCGCCACCUUCCUCUCUUUCCUAAGCCCUUGUCCCCCUCGCAUAUUUCUCUUCCACUCUUCCUCUUCCUACAUAUACCUACUACAACAUCUAUUCAUGUACACGGCCAAGUGGGAUUCCUCUACAGUUUAAAACUCUUCAGAUUUCCUAUUUUUUUUCCCCUUCUGAUCUGGGGUAAGAAAGUUGGGUGGAUAUGGCAGUGGCUAAUUCCAGGCCUAGUACAGAGCUGUUGAUGCCCAAGAAAUGGAAUGAGAGAUCAGAUAGGAGUCCUGAGAGAACUAAGAUAUGUUCCGAACAACCAAAAUUCAACUCCAUUCUCGACGGGAAAGUCCCCGUCAUUUACUACCUCGCCAGAAAUGGCCACCUCGAGCACCCUCAUUUCAUCCAAGUUCCCCCCUCUUCCUCUCACGGCCUUUAUCUAAGAGAUGUCAUAAAUAAAUUGAAUUUUCUCAGAGGAAAUGGCAUGGCUCAUAUGUACUCGUGGUCCUCCAAAAGGAACUAUAAGAAUGGGUACGUGUGGCAGGACUUAACGGAGGACGAUUUGAUUCAACCAACCAACGAUCGCGAUUACAUUCUCAAGGGAUCAGAGCUGCUGCAUUCCUCACCCAUCGUCCGAUCACUCCAACCAACCAAAAACGAUGCUCACGAUUCCUCUUCUUACUCGAGAAGGAAGGAAAAUCGGUCCUGGGGUUCCUUUGAUAAUUCCACUGCGAGUUCUUUCAAAAACAACGAGUACCGAGUUUACAAGUGCGAGUCGAGUCGCGAACUCGGAGGUAAGCUAGCUGACAUGGCAACUCAGACGGAGGAUAAGCGACGUUUGAGUAGGAGUUUGCGGGAGGAGUACUUUAACAAGAGCGUGGAGUUGUGUAGGGAAGAACUGUCUCCCCCGUCGAUGCCUAGCUCAGAAGGAUUGGACGGUGUGAGUGGAUCUAGAGCCGUCGAACGAUGUCCUGGAGUCGAUGAUCGUCGGACGGCUGAGAAUGGGUGCACCAGUGGGAGAAUCAAGCCUUCUCGUGUUCUGAAUUUGAUGCACUUGAUUACUUGUGGAUCGUCGAUCGCGGUUAAGGAUCGCGGUUCAAUGAAGAAAAAGGAAAGGCGGGGGUAUUUGAUGGGCGUGAAAUUUGGAAGCACGGUGUUACGCCAUGUAGGGAACCUAUAAGGUUCUGCAAAUUGCAAUAAUGUAACGUGAAAGGUUUACUUCUUAUUAAGCCCUUCAAAA